This 486-nucleotide ribosomal RNA is filed under the name uncultured bacterium. RNAcentral's name for it is "partial 16S ribosomal RNA". It matches the Rfam family "Bacterial small subunit ribosomal RNA", at positions 30 to 507 of the family's 1533-position model. The record is from RNAcentral.
AUUGAACGCUGGCGGCAUGCCUUACACAUGCAAGUCGAACGGCAGCACGGGUGCUUGCCCCUGGUGGCGAGUGGCGAACGGGUGAGUAAUACAUCGGAACAUGUCCUGUAGUGGGGGAUAGCCCGGCGAAAGCCGGAUUAAUACCGCAUACGAUCUACGGAUGACAGCGGGGGACCUUCGGGCCUCGCGCUAUAGGGUUGGCCGAUGGCUGAUUAGCUCGUUGGUGGGGUAAAGGCCUACCAAGGCGACGAUCAGUAGCUGGUCUGAGAGGACGACCAGCCACACGGGGACUGAGACACGGCCCAGACUCCUACGGGAGGCAGCAGUGGGGAAUUUUGGACAAUGGGCGAAAGCCUGAUCCAGCAAUGCCGCGUGUGUGAAGAAGGCCUUCGGGUUGUAAAGCACUUUUGUCCGGAAAGAAAUCCUUGGCCCUAAUACGGUCGGGGGAUGACGGUACCGGAAGAAUAAGCACCGGCUAACUACGUG